Molecule: ribosomal RNA, 547 nt
Filed under: uncultured bacterium
Lineage: Bacteria
Description: bacterial SSU rRNA
Rfam family: Bacterial small subunit ribosomal RNA
Source: RNAcentral
UGGGGAAUAUUGCGCAAUGGGGGGAACCCUGACGCAGCCAUGCCGCGUGAAUGAAGAAGGCCUUAGGGUCGUAAAGUUCUUUCGGUAUUGAGGAAGGUUGAUGUGUUAAUAGCACAUCAAAUUGACGUUAAAUACAGAAGAAGCACCGGCUAACUCCGUGCCAGCAGCCGCGGUAAUACGGAGGGUGCGAGCGUUAAUCGGAAUAACUGGGCGUAAAGGGCACGCAGGCGGUUAUUUAAGUGAGGUGUGAAAGCCCCGGGCUUAACCUGGGAAUUGCAUUUCAGACUGGGUAACUAGAGUACUUUAGGGAGGGGUAGAAUUCCACGUGUAGCGGUGAAAUGCGUAGAGAUGUGGAGGAAUACCGAAGGCGAAGGCAGCCCCUUGGGAAUGUACUGACGCUCAUGUGCGAAAGCGUGGGGAGCAAACAGGAUUAGAUACCCUGGUAGUCCACGCUGUAAACGCUGUCGAUUUGGGGGUUGGGGUUUAACUCUGGCGCCCGUAGCUAACGUGAUAAAUCGACCGCCUGGGGAGUACGGCCGCAAGGUUA